RNAcentral lists this unclassified non-coding RNA (401 nucleotides) under soil metagenome. RNAcentral describes it as "partial contains 5.8S ribosomal RNA, internal transcribed spacer 2, and large subunit ribosomal RNA". The stretch from base 1 to 121 matches the Rfam family "5.8S ribosomal RNA", at positions 35 to 154 of the family's 154-position model. The record is from RNAcentral.
GAUGAAGAACGUAGCGAAAUGCGAUAAGUAAUGUGAAUUGCAGAAUUCAGUGAAUCAUCGAAUCUUUGAACGCACCUUGCGCCCCUUGGUUAUUCCAAAGGGCAUGCCUGUUUGAGUAACAUGAACACCUCAACUCUUGUGGUUUCCCACAAUGAGCUUGGACUGUGGAGGUUUUGUUGGCCCUGUGGUCAGCUCCUCUCAAAUGGAUCAGCUUACCGGUGUUUGGUGGCAUUACGGGUGUGAUAACUAUCUACGCUCGUGGUCGUCUCCAAAUAACCUCCAGUGAUGGAGGUUCGCUGGAGCUUAUAAAUGUCUCUCCCCAGUGAAGACAGCCUUUGAACGUUCGAUCUCAAAUCAGGUAGGACUACCCGCUGAACUUAAGCAUAUCAAUAAGCGGAGGA